UUUUCAACUGUUGUGUUAUCGAAAAUAGAAUUUCCGAUUGCUUUGCAUUGUUCAAUAUUUGUUAAAUGGAUAUUAAGUGAAGAAAAUUUUGAAGAAAAUUUUGAAGAAAUUGCUUUUCCUUAUGUAUCAGAAAAGAUACACGCAGAGAGGCCAGGCACGAGUCCAGGAGAAGAGAACGAACCAAAAUAAAGGGUACAAUGAAAGAGGAGAAAAAAGAAAAAGGCAAGAACUGGUGUCGCGAGAAGCAAGUCGUCGAGACGUCUUCAUCGUUCCACGAUUCGAAGCCGUUCGUCAUUUCCGGUGGACGAGACUCGCGGCUAUCUCUUCGUCUCGCGAGUCGAUCGUCGAAUUUGUUUUGCAAUCCCGGCGCCUCGUUUAUCGUUGGUACACAUCGUGUACCGUCCGAGAGAUAGAAGACCUCGUUCCUCGAGGUUCGGGGUUUCGUCCGGUCGGCGAAAGGGAAUGCAUCGAACGGCCGGCUCCGGUCCCUUUUUCGCGUUUCCUGACCGGUAUCUGCACGUGUAAGGACAGGGCAAAGCAGAUAGCGGCGUGGCGAGCGUGUCGAUCCGUUUAUCGAGCCGUGUAUUUACGCGCGGCGUGACUCGUAGACGCGCGUUCGCCAGAUAACCGCGAUAAUAUAGAAACGCCAAUAAUGAAAUACGAUAAGCCGGGCAUAGAAUUUGUAUACGACGGCCCGUCGUGGAUUAAGGAGCUGUUAGCAUAAUCUGAACGACUCUAUACCUAUGUCCCAACAAACAGGCGCGCGGGGGCAAUUAGAAACGCUUCUCGUUCGUCGUACACCACUGCGUGUAUAUAAUCCACGCACGCGGCCGUAUACACUGGGGGGGGAUACACAUCGAGAGGCGUACAACGGGCUCGAUACAACGAAGAUCGAGAUACGUAAGUAUUAUGCGCGAUUUGCUCGACCGCGAUAAACCUUUCGCGCGUUUUCUCUUCUCCGCGAAUAAAUUACGCGACGAUAGGUUGACACGCGUCCCGCGUCCAAUUCUUUUUUUCCCUUUUCGAAAUCGAAGAUUCCACUCGCUUUCGUUGAACGUCGCUAAUCGUCUCGUUUUACGCUUACAUCGUGCUUGUCGCUGACUCGGCGGGACCCUUCUUCCCUCACCCUCCCUGGUCCCUAGUCCGUAUCCCCUCCCUUUCCAUCGUAGUUUUAUCUCUGUCCGCCAGGGGGACGGGAACACGCGUCGUCGCAAGACUCAGGUAGGGAGCAAAGUCAAUUUCGAGGCGAGAUGCCACGGGGUUAAUGGGCCUCCUUUGUCGUAAAUUCGGGCUUUAGUGUGAAAGCUGCCUAAACCUACCUCCGUUGCUCCUUCCUCGCCAGAGGAAUCCCCCUCGCUUCGUGCCUCUGGGAGCCUUGUAACAAACAGGAUACAGCUAUCUCUCUUUCGCCCCCUCCAUCUGUCGGCAUCGCCUGCCGCCACAUCGUCGAGCGAUUUAUUAUCCGACCGUUCCACCUCGGGCACCGUUCUGCUUAGCCGCUGUUUUUUAUUCCUGGUGAAUAAGGGGAGUGAGGGAGCCGGGAUCAAGGCGGAGUGUGAGCGGUGGAACGGAGUCAACGGGUGAGGGAAGGAACGGGAAACACGGCGGAAACUGGAGAACCAGAGAGGAGAGAGGAACUGGUGGAAAAGAAGAUAAAUCGCGACAGUUGCCAACCUAAGAAGUUUGAUUAUGUUGGCUCAGCCGAGGCUACGCUCGGUUAGAUUUGUAUUAAGCUCGCACCCGCCCCAGCGUCGACGGGAAUAUGCUUUAUAAGCGUAUCGUGGCGUGCUCGAGCGUUUCGAAAUCUUAGAUGGUCGAAAACAGGGGAAGGAAACGUGGUUAUUAAAAUCAAGAAAGAAUGGGAAAAUAGCAGAGAGAUAUGAGGUCGUUUUUUUUUCCCUCAUCAAAAAUCCAUGGAAUAUCGUUUUUGUUAGGGAAGAUUACGUUACAAGAUAAUUCAAAACAUUUGUUACUAGUUACACAUGGUUGUCGCGUGGGUGGUGUAGGUGUUUAGUCUGGGGAAUGUUUAGAUCCCUUCCAUGGUUUCACUCUGUGAAGUGGAGUUUAUGCGUAAACGAUAGGGUCUUGACAGAUCGCCUAUUCCUGGUAUACGAAAGUGUGAACACUUGAAAGCACUUCCCGUUUCUAAGAUACGUGUUCUUAAGAUUAUAGAAACAAAAAAAAAAAAAAAAGAAACAUACGUUUUCGGUUACAUAUGUUUGUAUUCAAAUAUACAAAUAUUCUUUAAAAAAUUCCAUUCUCAAUCUAUA
This is a long non-coding RNA of Apis laboriosa (Himalayan honeybee), 2270 nucleotides long. RefSeq lists it as uncharacterized. The transcript has 4 exons. Lineage: Eukaryota; Metazoa; Arthropoda; Insecta; Hymenoptera; Apidae. The record is from RefSeq and is a predicted model, not a curated record.